This is a ribosomal RNA of 1404 nucleotides. It matches the Rfam family "Bacterial small subunit ribosomal RNA".
AGUCGAGCGGUAGCACAGAGGAGCUUGCUCCCUGGGUGACGAGCGGCGGACGGGUGAGUAAAGUCUGGGGAUCUGCCUGAUGGAGGGGGAUAACUACUGGAAACGGUAGCUAAUACCGCAUGACGUCUUCGGACCAAAGUGGGGGACCUUCGGGCCUCACGCCAUGAGAUGAACCCAGAUGGGAUUAGCUGGUAGGUGAGGUAACGGCUCACCUAGGCGACGAUCCCUAGCUGGUCUGAGAGGAUGACCAGCCACACUGGAACUGAGACACGGUCCAGACUCCUACGGGAGGCAGCAGUGGGGAAUAUUGCACAAUGGGGGAAACCCUGAUGCAGCCAUGCCGCGUGUGUGAAGAAGGCCUUCGGGUUGUAAAGCACUUUCAGCGGGGAGGAAGGCAAUGAGCUUAAUAAGUUUGUUGAUUGACGUUACCCGCAGAAGAAGCACCGGCUAACUCCGUGCCAGCAGCCGCGGUAAUACGGAGGGUGCAAGCGUUAAUCGGAAUGACUGGGCGUAAAGCGCACGCAGGCGGUCUGUUAAGUUGGAUGUGAAAUCCCCGGGCUCAACCCGGGAACAGCAUUCAAAACUGACAGGCUAGAGUCUCGUAGAGGGGGGUAGAAUUCCAGGUGUAGCGGUGAAAUGCGUAGAGAUCUGGAGGAAUACCGGUGGCGAAGGCGGCCCCCUGGACGAAGACUGACGCUCAGGUGCGAAAGCGUGGGGAGCAAACAGGAUUAGAUACCCUGGUAGUCCACGCUGUAAACGAUGUCGACUUGGAGGUUGUGGUCUUGAACCGUGGCUUCCGGAGCUAACGCGUUAAGUCGACCGCCUGGGGAGUACGGCCGCAAGGUUAAAACUCAAAUGAAUUGACGGGGGCCCGCACAAGCGGUGGAGCAUGUGGUUUAAUUCGAUGCAACGCGAAGAACCUUACCUACUCUUGACAUCCAGAGAAGACUGUAGAGAUACGGUUGUGCCUUCGGGAGCUCUGAGACAGGUGCUGCAUGGCUGUCGUCAGCUCGUGUUGUGAAAUGUUGGGUUAAGUCCCGCAACGAGCGCAACCCUUAUCCUUUGUUGCCAGCGAUUUGGUCGGGAACUCAAAGGAGACUGCCGGUGAUAAACCGGAGGAAGGUGGGGAUGACGUCAAGUCAUCAUGGCCCUUACGAGUAGGGCUACACACGUGCUACAAUGGCGCAUACAAAGAGAAGCGAGCCUGCGAGGGUGAGCGGACCUCAUAAAGUGCGUCGUAGUCCGGAUUGGAGUCUGCAACUCGACUCCAUGAAGUCGGAAUCGCUAGUAAUCGUAGAUCAGAAUGCUACGGUGAAUACGUUCCCGGGCCUUGUACACACCGCCCGUCACACCAUGGGAGUGGGUUGCAAAAGAAGUAGGUAGCUUAACCUUAUGGGGGGCGCU